AGCUUAUUUUGCCCAGGCGGAGCUCGACCGCCCAUUCAAACGAUGAUCCGGUUCAUAGAGGAUCAUCGCGGGGACCAUGGAGAUAUGGGCAAAAGUUGGUGACGCUUGAUCAGGCGGCGGUUUGAAGUUGGCGGAUCCCA
Non-coding RNA from Pseudoruegeria sp. SK021, 140 nucleotides. The record is from Rfam. Lineage: Bacteria; Pseudomonadati; Pseudomonadota; Alphaproteobacteria; Rhodobacterales; Roseobacteraceae.